AAUGUGGAUAGACACGUGUCGCUCUAGUCAUAAUAAGGUGAACAGAAACACGAAUCGAAGACAACGAAAACAACCCAAAAUUUGACAGAACUUACGGUUACACCAGAAUUUACAGUACAUAAAAGUCCCAUUCUAAAAUUAGUUAAAACAGGUGCAAGUAACUUGCAAACUGCCUACACAUUACAAAGACCUAGGUACACAUCUUCAACCUGAAGAUAAAUACAUAUUUUUUACUUUUCCUCUGAAGAAUUAUUUCAAAAACAAAAACAAAAACAAAAAAUCUCUGCAAGAGCAAGUUAUUCUUUCUUGAUGCCUUGUCUGUUAAACCCUGCUGUUAGCAGGUAGAGGGAGAACACCAUCAAAGAAAUCACCAAAAUAGCCGUGGGGUUCAUGUACUAGCCUUGAGAUGAUAUCUCUUAGUGUGAUUAGUCCUUCAAGGUUCCCAUCAUCAUCCACAACAUAGACCCUGUGAAUUUGCUCUUUGUCAAGCAAUUGAAUCAACUCUUUCACUGUACAGUCCCUUUUGCAUGUAAUGAAUUCACUUGACAUUGGGAAUGCGUUUUUAUUCUUCUCUAAGUAGCUUCUAACGGAGGUCAGGAAGUCCUUCACUGUAAUAGUUCUGUCAAAAUGUGAACAUCCAAUGAGUAUGUAGUAAUGAAACAGAUAGAACAACUAAAGAAAGAAAGAUAGAAGAUAUCAGCAAUGCGGUCUAAACACAGUUUUAAUAAAAGGUCCGCGUCCACAGUUCAGGUCGUGACACAAGGUUUUUGAUGUCUCUGACCGUGAUUGAGGUCGCAUCAGCCAUAUUUGACAACAUUUCUCAGCAAUAUCAAGGACUGUGGCGCAACUGCGAAUCACAAUUUAAAACCUCUGACAUACCUAUAAUCAUGAUAGAUUUCUGGAGCAGUUAGCAAGAAUUGAACAUCUCGCAAGCUUAUAUUACCAACUGCCGUGGUGCCACCUCUUUUGAUUACAGGCACCCCUCCAACCCUCUUUUUCCUCAUCUCUUUAAAUGCUUGAAGGACUGGUUCAUCCUCAUAAACCUGAAAAGAAUGAAACGAUCCAUUGUCAAGUUCAUCAAGAUCGACAAGUUUACUUUACUUGAAAGGGGAAAUGAAAUAACUAUUUUGAAGCAUUUUCCAUAUAUGCACACACAUUUAAGAAAUGCAAGAUAGCAUUUUACUCUGUAUGCACUAGAGUUAUGCAGAAUUCAUACUUGACAAGGUUCAAUGCAAUGAGAGCUUAUAUGAUAUAGUACACACCUUGAUGAUCUGUUUUGGUGUCACAAGGGGAAGACCAACAUCAGAUAGUUCCUUGGUUCCCCAACUUUCGAACCAUUGAAGUCCGGCACAUUCUGCCAACAUAUGAAUCACGGCGGGUUGUGUGAUGAUGUUAUCAAUUGUACCAGAACCCAAGUCUACCACAGGAACACUCUUCAUUUUGUACUUAGAAAGCAACAAGAGCAUGGUUAGAAAUGAGUUUGAUCUCUCCAAAGCAAGAAACGGAGCCCAUCGAAAUGUUCCUGAAAUAUCUUGAACCUGUUUGCGAAAAAGUUAGCUACUUAAAUAACUAAAUACAAACUCAUUAGUAGCUGGAAGAAGAAUCACUUGAAAGAAAUUUAGACAUCGCAAAACAACCUUCGUGUUCUUAUAAAGUUCAGAAGAAGUAAGAUCCUCAAAAAAGUUUCCAGAAGUUGUCGCUGCAGAUCCGAGGCCUAAGGCUUCGAGUUCUCGGGCAAAAGUAUUUCCGUUUGCUGCGGCUGCAAUAGCACUUGCGCUAGUUGGAGUGGAUGGACUCCUGGGGGAUGGAGGCUCAGACUGUCAACAACAUUAUCACAUUAGCUUAGUGUGAAAUUGAAGCAUCUAAGAAAAUCACUUAAAUAGAACAGGUAUCAUAUCAUUUUUAGAUAUGAAAACACUGUAAAUAUAAGUACAAAAAUUGAUUGUAAAUUUUAGAUUCAUAUGUCUUUUGAUCUUUUCCUCAUUUUUAUUCUGAAAGUGAAAUAAUUGAAUUGACAAGUGACAUAUGUAUCUAACCUGAUGCAAAAUCCAUACAACAAUUCCAGCAAACUCAACUAUUCCGAUGUAUCUAUCAAUCCAAGUAGCAUCUUCAGGUGCAUCAACAUCCACAACAGGUGCACUCAGAAUAUUGUGACGUGCUAGUAUUUUCACAGCUUCAGCCAAGGUAGCAUCUGAUUUUAUUUCAAUUUCUAUACAAGCAAACAUAAAAUUCACACUUUUAGAACAAACCCAAUAAAAACACACCACAAAAAAAUUAUAACACACACACACAAUAACACAUCAAUUGGUCACACAUGCAUGUUUGGUACCAUAGUUGGUUGGUUUGUCAGAAUCACGGUGAACCACCAUGAUUCUGAUAUACUAUCGUGAUACCAAACAUGCACAUAAAUUUUCAUCUGGGUGUGAUCAAAAUCACUUUUUCUUUUAUUCAAUCAAAAUCAGACACAUACAUACAUAGACACUAAACUACCUUGGUUUUUAGCAGGCAAAGGAAAAGCAGAAACAGGUAUGCUUUCAAAACAAGCAUUAAGUUUGUCAUUAGGACUUAAUUGUGCCUCUUGAACAUCCCAUAGAUCUUCAACUCUCAUCCCAAGUUUGGCUUCAGGGCUCCUUGGCAUCUCUCUCAUUGUAGCCAUUGCCAUUACUCCCUCUUCUUUUCUCUCUCUGUGUAACUGCAUGAUGAAUUGAUGAUGAUGACAAUAUUAUAAGAUCUCUAUGUUUUUG
This 2744-nucleotide long non-coding RNA is filed under the name Medicago truncatula (barrel medic). RNAcentral describes it as "lncRNA gene26064". Lineage: Eukaryota; Viridiplantae; Streptophyta; Magnoliopsida; Fabales; Fabaceae. The record is from RNAcentral.